GGUGUGCACUUUAGAAUAUCUCUAGAUAAAAUGUGAUAUCGACUGGACUAAUAGUGUACUUUGACAAUUCGACGAUAAGUUCAAAUCAAAUGAACUUUAAAUAGCCUUGUCAUUUGUCCACAGUAAGUUCACCAAUAUAAGAGAAAUCCCUAAACUCACCAAAUGUUGAUGAAGUAUUUCCUGUCUUGUGUGACAGUUCUGUGUUGCACACUCGUUGUGACCAAUGCGAGCCUGGAAAUCAAGAUAGAACAGGGAGUACUGAAGGGAUGGUUUGAUAUAACUAGGAAAGGCAGAAUUUUCCGUUCGUUUACGGGAAUUCCAUUCGCGGAGCCGCCAUUGGAAGCGCUUCGUUUUAAGCCACCAGUUCCAGCUAAGCCAUGGCAGGGUGUUCUGGAUGCCACAAGAAGUCAUGCCAGUUGCCCACAAGUAAACGUAUACAUUGGCGACUUCACCAUAAAGGGAGACGAAGACUGUCUAUACCUAAACGUAUAUGCACCAGAGAAUGCCAAAGAUCACCCCCUUCCAGUGAUGUUCUUUAUUCAUGGAGGAGGCUGGAUGUGCGGCACCUCAGAUUCAGAGCUCUAUGGAGCACAAACACUAUUAGACCAAGAGGUCGUGUUGGUUACAACUAAUUACAGGUUAGGUGCACUGGGUUUUAUGAGUACCGGUGAUUUAGUUCUACCCGGCAACAAUGGAUUGAAGGAUCAAAAUUUGGCCUUAAAAUGGGCGAAAAAUAAUAUUAGACAAUUUGGGGGCAAUCCCGACAAAAUCACGAUCUUUGGGCAAUCGGCCGGCGCAGCCAGCACCCACUUUCACACUUUAUCACCACUUAGCCGAGAUUUGAUAUCGGGCGCUAUUAUUCAAAGUGGAAGUGCCCUUGCACCUUGGGCAAUCAGCUUGAAACCACUUGAUUAUGCAAAAAGGUUGGCGGGCUAUGUAAACUGUCCAAAUCAUUCUAGUGAGGCAAUAGUAGAAUGCAUGAGGACUGUAGAUCCAUACGAAAUCGUCCAGAAAGAGCAACGGCUGUUGGAAUACGGCUAUGACCCCAUGAUUCCCUUUAAACCGGUAGUGGAACCGUCUCAUGAAGGUGCGUUUCUCACUGAGGAGCCAGCUGUAAUUAUUAGAUCGAGGAAAAGUGCUCGGGUGCCCCUAAUGACUGGUUUCACAACAGAAGACGGUGCAAUUAAAUCUUCUGCAUUAUUUAAAGACGAGAAAUUGAUUGAAGAACUGAAUUCAGAUUUUAACAGAAUCGCACCAUUGAUUUUUGUAUAUGACCAAGCCACGUACAAUACAACCGGGCUUUCUGAAAAGAUCCGAAAGUUUUAUCUUGGUGACAGACCAAUUGACGAAUCCUCCAAGGCACCAUUGACUAAUGCCUUUACCGAUACAUGGUUUUAUGUUGCAACAGACUCAGUAAUAAGAAUGCACACUAACUACUGCAAUAAUCCAGUUUAUUUUUACCUAUUUGGAUACCAAGGGGGUGCAACCUUUACUACAGUAUUUAAGCAUCCUGAAGACCAAUAUAACUAUGGUUCUUGCCAUUGCGACGAACUAAUUUACUUAUUUCGCCAAGGAUAUGUGGCUAAACCAAGAGAAGAAAGUGAAGAAGAUAAGCGCAUGACGGAUGUAAUAGUCGCACUGUGGACUAAUUUUGCAAGAACAGGCAAUCCAACACCUCCUAAUGAUAAGUUAUUGACAAUAAAAUGGAAUCCUGUUAGUAGCAAAAAACACGAGUACUAUCUCAUAGAUAAACAUGGCCGUAUGAGUAUGGGGGAAAAUUGGGAGCCCGGAAGGUUGAGCUUUGCAAGGAAAAUUAAGUUUAAUUCCAGGUGGAACGAAGUCAGAGAUGAGUUAUAGGGAAGAUUAAAGUUCUUAAUGAAAUACGAUUGGUUUUUUGCCAACAUAUUCAAAGCUUUAUGCAUCACUCAAGUACAUCGAAGCUGGAACUAACUGAAAUACGCUGCAAUUUGCUUAUACAGUAAACGACAAUUGUUCUAGAACGAUUCGAAAUGUUCUACAACUUCAUUCUUCCCGGAAAGAUUGCAUCACAUUCGCCUUCGCUCAUAUCACCGAUGACUAAUUUUUUAUGGCGCCUCGAUGACUAUCGGCUUUUCUGGAAUAUUAGCACAGAUUUAAAUAUACUAAAUCUGUGCAAUAAGUUUGUGUUUAAUUUUGUUAGCAGGCAAGUUCCGAAAUCAAGUGAUAAAUCUUAUUUUCAGGGAGAACGGAAAGAACUCUCAUUAACUCUUCAUCAUAAAAUUUGUUAAGAGCUAGCCAAGGGAGGAUCAAUCCAUUUAUUGCAAAAAGCCUAUUGCACUUUUGUGACAAUGGACAUCCAUCGUCUGUCCAACGUACACAAAUAGACCCACAACGGACAUCCAUUUGUACAUAGACGGACAUCAGUCAUGGUCCAUGGGUCUACUUUGUGCUAUAUGGGUUCAAAAAUUUUGGAGAUCGAGAUGCGCUACAUCACAUCAUGGAAGAUUAAUGAUAAAGACGGUCAAGGUGGUACCAAAAUCAAUGCAAUACCGAUUUGCCACCGUUGGGCAAAUAUGGUUUUUUCCUAAAGCACCAAGGUUUUGCAACUGCCUUAUUACAAUAAAAUUGUGAAUAUUAUUUUUUUAUGUUUCGGACACAAAAAGUCGUUCGUUUGGAAAAGGUU
Photinus pyralis (common eastern firefly) is the source of this 2662-nucleotide RNA transcript. It is a transcript of the gene named esterase E4-like, with no coding region annotated. NCBI's taxonomy places the organism in Eukaryota, Metazoa, Arthropoda, Insecta, Coleoptera, Lampyridae. The transcript has 14 exons. The record is from RefSeq and is a predicted model, not a curated record.